GACGAACGCUGGCGGCGUGCUUAACACAUGCAAGUCGAACGAAGUGGCGAACGGGUGAGUAACGCGUAAUCAACCUUCCCUUCAGAGGGGGACAACAGUUGGAAACGACUGCUAAUACCGCAUACUGAAGGCGGGGAUUGCGUUUGCUUAGAUAGUUGGUGGGGUAACGGCCCACCAAGUCUAUGAUCAGUAGCCGGUCUGAGAGGAGGAACGGCCACAUUGGGACUGAGACACGGCCCAGACUCCUACGGGAGGCAGCAGUGGGGAAUCGUCCGAAAUGGACGAAAGUCUGACGGAGCAACGCCGCGUGAGUGAUGACGGCCUUCGGGUUGUAAAGCUCUGUUAAUCGGGACGCGGUACCGAAAUAGAAAGCCACGGCUAACUACGUGCCAGCAGCCGCGGUAAUAC
Molecule: ribosomal RNA, 408 nt
Filed under: uncultured bacterium
Lineage: Bacteria
Description: partial 16S ribosomal RNA
Rfam family: Bacterial small subunit ribosomal RNA
Source: RNAcentral